This 497-nucleotide ribosomal RNA is filed under the name uncultured bacterium. RNAcentral's name for it is "partial 16S ribosomal RNA". It matches the Rfam family "Bacterial small subunit ribosomal RNA", at positions 28 to 507 of the family's 1533-position model. The record is from RNAcentral.
GAUGAACGCUGGCGGCGUGCCUAAUACAUGCCAGUCGAGCGAACGGACGAGAAGCUUGCUUCUCUGAUGUUAGCGGCGGACGGGUGAGUAACACGUGGAUAACCUACCUAUAAGACUGGGAUAACUUCGGGAAACCGGAGCUAAUACCGGAUAAUAUUUUGAACCGCAUGGUUCAAAAGUGAAAGACGGUCUUGCUGUCACUUAUAGAUGGAUCCGCGCUGCAUUAGCUAGUUGGUAAGGUAACGGCUUACCAAGGCAACGAUGCAUAGCCGACCUGAGAGGGUGAUCGGCCACACUGGAAGUGAGACGGGGUCCAGACGCCUGCGGGAGGCCACAGUAGGGAAUCUUCCGCAAUGGGCGAAAGCCUGACGGAACAACGCCGCGUGAGUGAUGAAGGUCUUCGGAUCGGAAAACUCUGUUAUUAGGGAAGAACAUAUGUGUAAGUAGCUGUGCACAUCUUGACGGUACCUAAUCAGAAAGCCACGGCUAACUACGUG